GACGAACGCUGGCGGCGUGCCUAAUACAUGCAAGUCGAGCGAGUCUGCCUUGAAGAUCGGAGUGCUUGCACUCUGUGAAACAAGAUACAGGCUAGCGGCGGACGGGUGAGUAACACGUGGGUAACCUGCCCAAGAGAUCGGGAUAACACCUGGAAACAGAUGCUAAUACCGGAUAACAACAGAUGAUGCCUAUCAACUGUUUAAAAGAUGGUUCUGCUAUCACUCUUGGAUGGACCUGCGGUGCAUUAGCUAGUUGGUAGGGUAACGGCCUACCAAGGCGAUGAUGCAUAGCCGAGUUGAGAGACUGAUCGGCCACAUUGGGACUGAGACACGGCCCAAACUCCUACGGGAGGCAGCAGUAGGGAAUCUUCCACAAUGGACGCAAGUCUGAUGGAGCAACGCCGCGUGAGUGAAGAAGGGUUUCGGCUCGUAAAGCUCUGUUGUUGGUGAAGAAGGACAGGGGUAGUAACUGACCUUGUUGACGGUAUCAAUA
Molecule: ribosomal RNA, 493 nt
Filed under: Lactobacillus iners
Lineage: Bacteria; Bacillati; Bacillota; Bacilli; Lactobacillales; Lactobacillaceae
Description: bacterial SSU rRNA
Rfam family: Bacterial small subunit ribosomal RNA
Source: RNAcentral